AACGAACGCUGGCGGCAGGCUUAACACAUGCAAGUCGAGCGCCCCGCAAGGGGAGCGGCAGACGGGUGAGUAACGCGUGGGAACGUACCUUUUGGUUCGUAACAACUCCGGGAAACUGGAGCUAAUACCGGAUAAGCCCUAACGGGGAAAGAUUUAUCGCCGAAAGAUCGGCCCGCGUCUGAUUAGCUAGUUGGUGAGGUAACGGCUCACCAAGGCGACGAUCAGUAGCUGGUCUGAGAGGAUGAUCAGCCACACUGGGACUGAGACACGGCCCAGACUCCUACGGGAGGCAGCAGUGGGGAAUAUUGGACAAUGGGCGCAAGCCUGAUCCAGCCAUGCCGCGUGAGUGAUGAAGGCCUUAGGGUUGUAAAGCUCUUUUGUCCGGGAAGAUAAUGACUGUACCGGAAGAAUAAGCCCCGGCUAACUUCGUG
RNAcentral lists this ribosomal RNA (431 nucleotides) under uncultured bacterium. RNAcentral describes it as "partial 16S ribosomal RNA". It matches the Rfam family "Bacterial small subunit ribosomal RNA", at positions 29 to 507 of the family's 1533-position model. The record is from RNAcentral.